GUCCACGCCCUAAACGAUGUCGACUGGUUGUUGGUGGGGUUAAACCCAUUAGUAACGAAGCUAACGCGUGAAGUCGACCGCCUGGGGAGUACGGCCGCAAGGUUAAAACUCAAAGGAAUUGACGGGGACCCGCACAAGCGGUGGAUGAUGUGGAUUAAUUCGAUGCAACGCGAAGAACCUUACCUACCCUUGACAUGUACGGAAGCUUGCUGAGAGGCGAGUGUGCCCGAAAGGGAGCCGUAACACAGGUGCUGCAUGGCUGUCGU
This 266-nucleotide ribosomal RNA is filed under the name uncultured bacterium. RNAcentral describes it as "partial 16S ribosomal RNA". It matches the Rfam family "Bacterial small subunit ribosomal RNA", at positions 793 to 1055 of the family's 1533-position model. The record is from RNAcentral.